This 426-nucleotide ribosomal RNA is filed under the name uncultured bacterium. RNAcentral describes it as "bacterial SSU rRNA". It matches the Rfam family "Bacterial small subunit ribosomal RNA", at positions 354 to 796 of the family's 1533-position model. The record is from RNAcentral.
GUGGGGAAUCUUGCACAAUGGGCGAAAGCCUGAUGCAGCAACGCCGCGUGCGGGAAGAAGGCCUUAGGGUUGUAAACCGCUUUCAGCAGGGAAGAAAAUGACGGUACCUGUAGAAGAAGGUGCGGCCAACUACGUGCCAGCAGCCGCGGUGACACGUAGGCACCAAGCGUUGUCCGGAUUUAUUGGGCGUAAAGAGCUCGUAGGCGGUUCGGUAAGUCGGGUGUGAAAACUCUGGGCUCAACCCAGAGCCGCCACCCGAUACUGCUGUGACUCGAGUGCGGUAGGGGAGCGGGGAAUUCCUGGUGUAGCGGUGAAAUGCGCAGAUAUCAGGAGGAACACCAGUGGCGAAGGCGCCGCUCUGGGCCGUGACUGACGCUGAGGAGCGAAAGCGUGGGUAGCAAACAGGAUUAGAAACCCGUGUAGUCC